This 234-nucleotide ribosomal RNA is filed under the name Triticum aestivum (bread wheat). Its description in RNAcentral is "partial small subunit ribosomal RNA". The record is from RNAcentral. Lineage: Eukaryota; Viridiplantae; Streptophyta; Magnoliopsida; Poales; Poaceae.
AUGGAUGAGGAGUACUACAUGUUUCGCGACCAAGGAUCAGAUAAUGACACAAUUGAGGAUUUUGAUGAAACGAGGAUGUCGUCUGCUAUACCUAGCGAUGUUGAUCCAUUAGACUUUGUCUACACAAACAUCCUAGACACCACUCACGUCCUGAAACUAGAUGCAAACCGCAAACACUACAAAGCCAAAAAGUUUGUGUCUGAGACUGACAGGUUCUACUGUCGCAAUGGAUAG